This 93-nucleotide small RNA is filed under the name Salmonella enterica. RNAcentral describes it as "partial RtT sRNA". It matches the Rfam family "RtT RNA", at positions 36 to 130 of the family's 130-position model. Rfam says of the family: This family represents a bacterial cis-regulatory element known as RtT RNA. Lineage: Bacteria; Pseudomonadati; Pseudomonadota; Gammaproteobacteria; Enterobacterales; Enterobacteriaceae. The record is from RNAcentral. RNAcentral also lists the same sequence under 5 other names.
CGUAGGUUCGGGUCGAACGCAGUGAGACAACGGAGCCGUUUACGGCGACGGCCCGAAGGGCGAGCGAAGCGAGUCAUCCUGCACGACCCACCA